GAGUGGAAAUGAGGCAUGGUGAUUAUGUACAUUGUUAUUGGAUUUUAAAUCACCAUAUGUGGAAAGGAUGCCACAUGGGUAGUCAUGGAUAGACUUACCAAGUCAGCCCAUUUCCUAAGUAAUUAAGAAGACAAUCAGAGCUAAUCAAUUGGAGCAGACCUACAUUAUUGGGUUUGAGAAGUUUCAUGGAUGUUAACAUUGUAUCGGAUUGGGAAUCGAAGUCACAUCUACAUUUCAGAGAGCCUUUCGGAAGGCACUUGGGACAAAGAUCAUAUGAGUACAUCUUAUCACCCGUUGACAUAUUGUCAGUCAGAGAGGACUACUCAGAACUUAAAAGAUAUGUUCAGAGAUUGCGUGGGAUGGAAUUUCGGAAAGCAUCUACGUUUACUAGAGUUUUCCUACAUCGACAACUAUCUUUUGAGUAUUGAAAAAAAAAAUUACUAUACGAGGGUUAUUUAUGGUAGACCUUAUAGUAUACCACUUUGUUGGACCAAAGUGUGGUAGCAAUAUGAGUUAGAACUAUUAAUGGUUCAAGAGACGGUAAAGCAAAGGACAUGCUCAAGGAUUGGCUUUCGGAAGCCCAUGACGUCAGAGGAUUUAUGCAGCUAAGCACCGUAAGGAUUCGGAGCUACAUAUGAGCACCUAAUAUACCUGAAAAAUAAGGACAUUUCAGGAGGGACCUAAGACUCAGAAGAUAAAGGAGCUUAAACCGAGACACAUGGAAUUGUAUCCUUCACUGGAGUAGAUUGGAUUAGUUGCUUGCAGUUACUUUAUCAGCAGUAUAUCAGCCUUCUAGGACUUGGUUCAUAUGACAACAUUGCAAAAGUUGAGAAGGCGCUAUAAUUAUUUUGCAGUAGACGUCAAGUGACUUCAGAAAGUUUUAUGGACCUUAUCAUCUAUUACAGAUUUUGGAUCAUCAAGUGGAAACAGUUCGGGGAAUGUCGACCGUGUUUGUCCGAGUUCGUUGGGAAAGAUAUAAGACUCAGGAGGAGACCUGGAAGGCCGAGCGAGGAUUAGUAUUCGAGGUUUUGCUAUGAUGACAUUGGGCACGUCAGCUUAUGACAUGAAUUCGGGGACGAAUUCCUUAUAAGUGGGGGAGAAUUGUAAUGACCCAAUCCCACCAUCUCGACUUCUUUCCCCAACCCCACCAUUUUCACCUUCUUUUUCACCAUCUCCACCUUCUUUCCCACCAUCUCCAUCUUCUAUAAUUCACAAAUUAAAAAAGAGAGAGAGAGAGAGAAAGAGAGAGAAAAGAAGAAGAAGAAGGGAGAAAGCUCACUUGAACUCGUCGCCGGAGCCACCACACGCCAGGACGUCGUCAAGCUCGUCACCACCAUCAUCCGCAACCAAAGAUUUGGAGUCCAUUUGAGCAGCUGGAGUUCAUAUAUACCACUUCUCUUCAUUGCUAAGGUGAAACCUACGAGCAAGAGUGAUUAUCCGACUGGUGCUAUUGGGCUUUUGGGCUUUUACUACUAUCGAGCUUUGGACUUCUAUCACUUUUAUCGUUUUUAUCGCUUUUUGGCCUUUGGGCUUCUAUCUAUCGUUUAUGAUAUUUCGUAUUUCGGACUUUCGGUUUAUGUCGAACUUUUUAUUUUGGAUGUUAUCGUUAUUGGGCCUUAGGGCCUUAUGCCAUAGUAUUGACUUUAUAUUAUGAUGGAGGAUAUUAUUAUUAUUUUGGUUGUGUUAUUCUUUUAUUUUUCCGCUCUUAUAUAUUUAUUAUAUUUCGAAAGAGACGGGUGUCACAUUUUGGUAUUAGAGCUAUUUAUUUAUCGUAACAUUUUAUUAUGUAAAUCGGGGUGUCACAAUAUUAUCCAAACUAUUAAGUUAUAUACACAAUGUAAUAUAACGUUUAAUUCACUAGUUUAGUUGCUCAUAUGAUUAUGCU
Molecule: long non-coding RNA, 1885 nt
Organism: Brassica napus (rape)
Lineage: Eukaryota; Viridiplantae; Streptophyta; Magnoliopsida; Brassicales; Brassicaceae
Exons: 3
Source: RefSeq, a predicted model, not a curated record